UAAUACGUAGGGGGCAAGCGUUGUCCGGAUUUAUUGGGCGUAAAGAGCGUGUAGGCGGCCUGGUAGGUCAGCUGUGAAAACUCGAGGCUCAACCUCGAGACGCCGGUUGAAACCAUCAGGCUAGAGUCCGGAAGAGGAGAGUGGAAUUCCAGGUGUAGCGGUGAAAUGCGCAGAUAUCUGGAAGAACACCCGUGGCUAAGGCGGCUCUCUAGUACGGUACUGACGCUGAGACGCGAAAGCGUGGGGAGCGAACAGGAUUAGAUACCCUGGUAGUCCACGCCGUAAACGAUGGGCACUAGGUGUGGGGGGUGUCGACUCCCUCCGUGCCGAAGCUAACGCAUUAAGUGCCCCGCCUGGGGAGUACGGCCGCAAGGCUA
This 377-nucleotide ribosomal RNA is filed under the name uncultured bacterium. Its description in RNAcentral is "bacterial SSU rRNA". It matches the Rfam family "Bacterial small subunit ribosomal RNA", at positions 521 to 896 of the family's 1533-position model. The record is from RNAcentral.